UGACAAGUUCCAGAUCAAGUUCAAAUUUUUGUUUUGGUCUGAUAUUUUUCUGCAUGUUAUGGUCCUUCACUCAUAUAAUCAGUUAUUCACAUUGUUUCUAGUCAUGCUUAAAUAUAAUGACUUGAUAUUUACUUUUUGUUUACACCAUGACAAGUUAUAGAACAAGUUAGCAUUUUGUUCCAGUAUAAUGUAAUUUUUAUCCGGUAGGGGACUAUGUAAUGCCAAGAAAUACUCUCAGAAUGCUUGUUCAUUUUUCAUUGACUGUGAUAUUGUAACGAGUUUAAAUGAGUAAAGUUCAAUUAUGUAUGUAAUUUGAAAAAUUUGUGUUAAAGAAAGUAGUAAUAGUUUAAUUAACUAAGUUUGUU
This 365-nucleotide long non-coding RNA is filed under the name Mytilus galloprovincialis (Mediterranean mussel). The record is from RNAcentral. Lineage: Eukaryota; Metazoa; Mollusca; Bivalvia; Mytilida; Mytilidae.